GGGAGGUCUUAGCUUAAUUAAAGUGUUUGAGUUGCAUUCAGGAGAUGUUUAUUAAAAUUAUACAGGCCUUC
RNAcentral lists this transfer RNA (71 nucleotides) under Paniegekko madjo. RNAcentral describes it as "tRNA-Ala". It matches the Rfam family "tRNA". From Rfam's summary of the family: Transfer RNA (tRNA) molecules are approximately 80 nucleotides in length. Their secondary structure includes four short double-helical elements and three loops (D, anti-codon, and T loops). Further hydrogen bonds mediate the characteristic L-shaped molecular structure. tRNAs have two regions of fundamental functional importance: the anti-codon, which is responsible for specific mRNA codon recognition, and the 3' end, to which the tRNAs corresponding amino acid is attached (by aminoacyl-tRNA synthetases). tRNAs cope with the degeneracy of the genetic code in two manners: having more than one tRNA (with a specific anti-codon) for a particular amino acid; and 'wobble' base-pairing, i.e. permitting non-standard base-pairing at the 3rd anti-codon position. Lineage: Eukaryota; Metazoa; Chordata; Lepidosauria; Squamata; Diplodactylidae. The record is from RNAcentral.